This 467-nucleotide ribosomal RNA is filed under the name uncultured bacterium. Its description in RNAcentral is "bacterial SSU rRNA". It matches the Rfam family "Bacterial small subunit ribosomal RNA", at positions 329 to 793 of the family's 1533-position model. The record is from RNAcentral.
GACCAGACUCCUACGGGAGGCAGCAGUGAGGAAUAUUGGUCAAUGGGCGGAAGCCUGAACCAGCCAAGUCGCGUGAGGGAAGAAGGCCCUGCGGGUCGCAGACCUCUUUGGACGGGGAGCAAGGCCGCCGACGUGUCGGCGGAAGGAGAGUACCCGUAGAACAAGCAUCGGCUAACUCCGUGCCAGCAGCCGCGGUAAUACGGAGGAUGCGAGCGUUAUCCGGAUUUAUUGGGUUUAAAGGGUGCGCAGGCGGGGAUGCAAGUUGGGUGUCAAAACUACCGGCUCAACCGAUAGUCGCACUCAAAACUGCAACUCUUGAGUGAAGUAGAGGCAGGCGGAAUUCCUAGUGUAGCGGUGAAAUGCGUAGAUAUUAGGAGGAACACCAGUGGCGAAGGCGGCCUGCUGGGCUUUUACUGACGCUGAGGCUCGAAAGUGUGGGGAGCAAACAGGAUUAGAUACCCGAGUAA